RNAcentral lists this ribosomal RNA (1251 nucleotides) under uncultured organism. RNAcentral's name for it is "bacterial SSU rRNA". It matches the Rfam family "Bacterial small subunit ribosomal RNA", at positions 199 to 1490 of the family's 1533-position model. The record is from RNAcentral.
GAGUAAAGAUUUCGGCCGCUUUGGGAGGAGCUCGCUUACUAUCAGCUUGUUGGUAGGGUAAUGGCCUACCAAGGCUAUGACGGUUAGGGGGUGUGAGAGCAUGACCCCCAGCAUUGGCACUGAAACACUGGCCAAACACCUACGGGUGGCUGCAGUCGAGAAUCUUCCACAAUGGGGGAAACCCUGAUGGAGCGAUGCUGCGUGCGGGAUGAAGGCCUUCGGGUUGUAAACCGCUUUUGUAGGGGACGAAAUUUUUGACGGUACCCUUUCGAAUAAGAGGUUGCUAACUCUGUGCCAGCAGCAGCGGUAAUACAGAGACCUCAAGCGUUAUCCGGAUUUACUGGGCGUAAAGCGUCUGUAGGGGGUUUAUUAAGUUCCAAGUAAAAUUUCAAGGCUCAACUUUGAAUUCGCUUGGAAAACUAAUAAACUGGAGUCUAGCAGAGGUGCAUGGAACUUGUGGUGUAGGAGUGAAAUCCGUUGAUAUCACAAGGAACACCAAAGGCGAAGGCAUUGCACUGGGCUAGCACUGACCCUGAGAGACGAAAGCGUGGGGAGCAAAACGGAUUAGAUACCCGUGUAGUCCACGCCCUAAACGAUGAAUGCUAAAUGUUCGGGGAUUCGACCCCCUGGGUGUUACAGCUAACGCGUUAAGCAUUCCGCCUGGGAAGUACGGCCGCAAGGCUAAAACUCAAAGGAAUAGACGGGGAUCCGCACAAGCGGUGGAGCGUCUGGUUUAAUUCGACAGUAAGCGUGGUACCUCACCAGGGUUUGACAUCCCUUGACAGCCUUGGAAACAAGGUUUCCUUCGGGCAAGGUGACAGGUGCUGCAUGGUCGUCGUCAGUUCGUGCCGUGAGGUGUUCCGUUAAGUCGGGAAACGAACGAAACCCCUAUUGCAUGUUACAAUUUCUCAUGCAAGACUGCCCGGAUAUACUGGGAGGAAGGUGGGGAUGACGUCAGAUCUGCAUGGUCCUUAUACCCUGGGCGACACAGGCGCUACAAUGGCAGAGACAAAGGGUUGCAAAACCGCAAGGUGAAGCUAAUCCCAAAAACUUUGUCUAAGUUCGGAUUGAAGGCUGCAAUUCGCCUUCAUGAAGCUGGAAUCGCUAGUAAUCGUGAAUCAGCCACGUCACGGUGAAUAUGUUCCCGGAUCUUGUACUCACCGCCCGUCACACCAAGAGAGUUGGUAGCUCCCGAAGCGUCCCGUUUUAGCGGGGCAUCACGGAGAGAUCAGCGAUAGGGGUGAAGUCGUA